Molecule: ribosomal RNA, 341 nt
Filed under: uncultured Glomeromycotina
Lineage: Eukaryota; Fungi; Glomeromycota
Description: eukaryotic LSU rRNA
Source: RNAcentral
AUCAGCCUUUCGUGUGCGAUUCUGUGGAGUUUGAGGAGCUUAACACCUUCAUGCUUUGCAUAUUCGUGCUCUUGGGUGUACUUGCCCGUGUGGUUGGUUAACAUCAAUUUUGGUGUUCAAAAAAUGACUGGAGGAAUGUAGCUUCGAUCUUGUAUUGAAGUGUUAUAGCCUUCGGUAGAUGUGAUGAUCGAGAUUGAGGAUUGCAACGGAUACCCUUCGGGGCUACCUGUCUGAUCUCUGAUCGUUGCUCUGGUGCCGAAAGCUUGCUUACGGUUAUCAAAGUCGAUGGUCAAUAGGUUAGAACGGGUUAAAUUCGUUAAGGAUGUUGACGUAAUGGCUUU